AACUGAGGGAAAGUUUGGUUCCUUACGCUGUAGGCAUUGGGCAGACCUAACCUUGUGGUUUAAUAGCGCUGGACGACACUUUCUGUUGUGAGAAUCUCUUUCAGUGGGCUAAUGAAAAAUAGGACCGGUAAACCACCUCGGCACAGAGACGUUUUAACUAAGCCUCCAACGAACUCUUGAGCAAUGCUUCUCAAACUUGUGCAUGCCUGAGACUUGUCGGAGGGCUUAUUAAAAUACCCGCCGCUUAUGCCCUCGUUUCCAGAAAUUGUGUUACAGCAGAUGUAGAGAGGAGACUGCAUUUUUAAAGGUUCCCACGUUCUGCUGAUGUUGCCGGUUUGGGAACCUCUGCUCUGAUUCCUGGCAGUUCGGGAAGAAACUGGUCAGAGGAAGGGGAAAUGUCAAGACUUGGGACCAUCUCUCGCCUCCUAACAUCAAACAAGACAAGGAAAUUGACUGAAGCUGGAAAGCCUUUGACCAGUCUUAGGUGGAGGAGCCAGCAAUAAACUGGAGGUCAUUGAGGAGCGACUGCUGGUGAUUGGAGAACCAGACUCAGGUAAACGGAAGCUCCUCCUCACCCCUUCUCCUGUCCUUGGACUGUAUGUUGUUCCCACCAUGCCCAUAGCCAGAGCUAUGUCAAGGACACGGCCUUGGGAGUGUAAGAUGUUGUUGAGACCAUCUGGACCAGAUAUGUGAUGGAACUCAAUUAAGGCCUCUAUAUAAACAUUUUAAGAUGUUGGCAGGUGGGUGCAGAGAUGUACUUAUGGUCACCCAAGACAAGUCUUGUAAAUAAUUUCUCUUGCUCCUUAAAACUGUCACCUACAGUCUGGAGAGGUCCGCCUCUUUCUUCAGUCUCUCCUCGCCCUCCAUGUAUGAGGCCCAGUUUGCAAACCAACACUCUGCAAGCUAAAAAGUAAGGAUUAUGUAAAAAGCUAACUUGUAACAAAAUAAAACAGUCUUGCACCUCAAGUACAGCGUUUUUUAAAACACAAAAUGUCAUUUUAAAUUUUUAUCAGGAAAGAAAAAAUAACUACAUAAGACCAGAAUAUUUAAAGGUAUCCUAACCCAUAAAUAUGCUACACUAUAAACAAGCUACCAUAGCAUAAAAUAAAAUGAGCUAUAGAUACGCUUUAGAAUUAACUCCAGUACACAUUAUGAUGCAUAAUAGCUACUGCAAUCUUUAAAAAAAAAACUUAUAAUGUAUGUUUUACUUCUUUAUGUUAGUACAAGAAAAAAAUUCAAAAUGCCAUACAAAGUUUUUUUAAAGGCCUACAUUGAAAUUCCAAGAAAGUCAACCUGAGUUCUGACAUAAGGAUAAUGAUAAUGGAUACUUAUAUAAAACUUUUUGGUCUAUAAAACACAUAAAAC
Non-coding RNA from Sus scrofa (pig), 1365 nucleotides. The record is from RefSeq and is a predicted model, not a curated record. Lineage: Eukaryota; Metazoa; Chordata; Mammalia; Artiodactyla; Suidae.